RNAcentral lists this ribosomal RNA (462 nucleotides) under uncultured beta proteobacterium. RNAcentral's name for it is "bacterial SSU rRNA". It matches the Rfam family "Bacterial small subunit ribosomal RNA", at positions 200 to 642 of the family's 1533-position model. The record is from RNAcentral. Lineage: Bacteria; Pseudomonadati; Pseudomonadota; Betaproteobacteria.
AGGAAAGCAGGGGAUCGCAAGACCUUGCGCUCUUGGAGCGGCCGAUGUCUGAUUGGCUAGUUGGUGAGGUAAAGGCUUACCAAGGCGACGAUCAGUAGCUGGUCUGAGAGGACGACCAGCCACACUGGGACUGAGACACGGCCCAGACUCCUACGGGAGGCAGCAGUGGGGAAUUUUGGACAAUGGGGGAAACCCUGAUCCAGCCAUGCCGCGUGAGUGAAGAAGGCCUUCGGGUUGUAAAGCUCUUUCAGCCGGAACGAAACGGUCACGGCUAAUACCUGUGAUCACUGACGGUACCGGAAGAAGAAGCACCGGCUAACUACGUGCCAGCAGCCGCGGUAAUACGUAGGGUGCAAGCGUUAAUCGGAAUUACUGGGCGUAAAGCGUGCGCAGGCGGUUUUGUAAGUCAGAUGUGAAAUCCCCGGGCUUAACCUGGGGAACUGCGUUUGAAACUACAAGGCU